RNAcentral lists this ribosomal RNA (451 nucleotides) under uncultured bacterium. RNAcentral's name for it is "partial 16S ribosomal RNA". It matches the Rfam family "Bacterial small subunit ribosomal RNA", at positions 28 to 507 of the family's 1533-position model. The record is from RNAcentral.
GAUGAACGCUGGCGGCGUGCCUAACACAUGCAAGUCGAGCGGCAGCGCGGGGUGCUUGCACCCUGUCGGCGAGCGGCGGACGGCUGAGUAACGCGUGGGAACGUGCCCCAAAGUGAGGAAUAACUGCCCGAAAGGGUAGCUAAUACCGCAUAUUAUCUUCGGAUCAAAGGAUUUAUCCGCUUUGGGAGCGGCUCGCGUCGGGUUAGGUAGUUGGUGAGGUAAUGGCUCACCAAGGCGACGAUCCGUAGCUGGGCGGAGAGGAUGACCAGCCAGACUGGAACUGAGACACGGUCCAGACUGCUACGGGAGGGAGCAGUGAGGAGUCUUCCACAAGGGGCGAAAGCCUGAUGGAGCAACGCCGCGUGCAGGACGAAGGCCUUCGGGUUGUAAACUGCUUUUAUAAGUGAGGAAUAUGACGGUAACUGAUGAAUAAGGAUCGGCUAACUACGUG